This 222-nucleotide ribosomal RNA is filed under the name uncultured bacterium. RNAcentral's name for it is "partial 16S ribosomal RNA". It matches the Rfam family "Bacterial small subunit ribosomal RNA", at positions 109 to 334 of the family's 1533-position model. The record is from RNAcentral.
AGUAAUGUAUGGGGAUCUGCCUGAUGGCGGGGGAUAACUACUGGAAACGGUAGCUAAUACCGCAUAAUGUCUGCGGACCAAAGCGGGGGACCUCCGGGCCUCGCGCCAUCAGAUGAACCCAUAUGGGAUUAGCUAGUAGGUGAGGUAACGGCUCACCUAGGCGACGAUCCCUAGCUGGUCUGAGAGGAUGACCAGCCACACUGGAACUGAGACACGGUCCAG